AAAUUGAAGAGUUUGAUCAUGGCUCAGAUUGAACGCUGGCGGCAGGCCUAACACAUGCAAGUCGAGCGGUAGCACAGAGAGCUUGCUCUCGGGUGACGAGCGGCGGACGGGUGAGUAAUGUCUGGGAAACUGCCUGAUGGAGGGGGAUAACUACUGGAAACGGUAGCUAAUACCGCAUAACGUCGCAAGACCAAAGUGGGGGACCUUCGGGCCUCAUGCCAUCAGAUGUGCCCAGAUGGGAUUAGCUAGUAGGUGGGGUAACGGCUCACCUAGGCGACGAUCCCUAGCUGGUCUGAGAGGAUGACCAGCCACACUGGAACUGAGACACGGUCCAGACUCCUACGGGAGGCAGCAGUGGGGAAUAUUGCACAAUGGGCGCAAGCCUGAUGCAGCCAUGCCGCGUGUGUGAAGAAGGCCUUCGGGUUGUAAAGCA
Molecule: ribosomal RNA, 433 nt
Filed under: Klebsiella pneumoniae
Lineage: Bacteria; Pseudomonadati; Pseudomonadota; Gammaproteobacteria; Enterobacterales; Enterobacteriaceae
Also listed under: 7 other names
Description: bacterial SSU rRNA
Rfam family: Bacterial small subunit ribosomal RNA
Source: RNAcentral